AAACCUUCCAAGAAAGAACAAGCAGUAUAACCAUAAAAAGAAAGCGCACAAAACAAACCUGUACUUGCAGAACAAGUGAUUACACCCUUAAGAAAAGUAUCUUAAAAGACAACAGACAGGACAUAGUUUUGUAGAACAAGUACCCCAGUUACAAACAAAACCACAAGCAAGUUUAAUGCACCAAAUUCCUCAAAGAUCAAUGUACAUAGACUUGAUGUAGUUCUUGAGAUGAUCACCAGGACGGGUAAAUUCAUCAUCCUUUUCGUAGCUAA
Molecule: long non-coding RNA, 272 nt
Filed under: Capsella grandiflora
Lineage: Eukaryota; Viridiplantae; Streptophyta; Magnoliopsida; Brassicales; Brassicaceae
Description: long non-coding RNA (CGRA_LNC001775)
Source: RNAcentral